AUAUUGUCCCCAAUGUUUCAAAAAAACGAAAGAAAAGGAAAAAUAAAUAAAAAUGGUACUCAAACUCAAUUCUGCCUGCGUCCUCUUGUUCUCGGACCCGGUGAUCGUUCACGUACUGCCAAGUCAUCAAACCUGUUAAGCAAGUCAGUGAACCUCUGGUCGGUUAUUGCAAAUUCUGCCUGCGUCCUCUUGUUCUCGGACCCGGUGAUCGUUCACGUACUGCCAAGUCAUCAAACCUGUUAAGCAAGUCAGUGAACCUCUGGUCG
Molecule: long non-coding RNA, 266 nt
Filed under: Lathyrus oleraceus (garden pea)
Lineage: Eukaryota; Viridiplantae; Streptophyta; Magnoliopsida; Fabales; Fabaceae
Description: Pisum sativum (pea) long non-coding RNA (PSAT_LNC037627)
Source: RNAcentral